GUUGGCCAGGCUGGUCUUGAAUUCCUGAUCUCAAAGUGCUGGGAUUACAGGCAUAAGCCACUGAGCCUGGCCUGCUACAUUUGUUUCUGAACCUCUUCAAGCCUGAGAUACUUGUUAUUGUAGUUAUGCAAUUCAGUCUGAGAGACAAUAUAUUUAUUACAAUAAUAAAAUUAUUAAACAAAUAUUUAUUGAAUGACAAUUAGAGACCUGCUAUUCUAUGCACUGGAAUGCAUCUGUGAACAAACAGAUGAAAAUGCCUGCCUUCAUAGAGCUUGAAUUCUAAUAAGUAAAAUAUAUAGAAUGUCAGAUAGGUGGGCUAUGGGGAAAAAUAUUGUGGAGGUGGAACGGAUAGAAAAGGCUCAAUAGGGGAUGAAGGUGGCUACUUUAGAUAGGGUGAUAGGGAAGGCUUCACUGAGAAGGUGACAUUUGAUCAAAGACAUACUGAAAGAGGUAAUUAUAAGGAGCUAGCCUGGUGGAUACCCAAGGGGAGAGAAUUCCAGAGAUAGGGAGCAGAAAUGUAAAGUCUGAAGCAAGAGCUCCUAUGGGCAUUUGAGGCAGUGCAUGGAGGAUGGCAAGAGAUAGGUCAGGGAGGAUGGCAGGGGUCAGAGCAUGGUGAGCCUUGUGCAGACUUUAGCUUGUCCUUUCAGGAAGGUGGAUGAGCCAUUGGAGGUGCCAGAGAGGAGGAAUGGCAACACUGGACUUAUCAUCUAAUUAAACUGCUGAAAUGAGAGUGUGCUUGUUUCCAGGGAAACUAUAUUAAAUACUUUAAAAAGACUCCAUAGGGAGUAAGAAAUGACCAGAAGGGACUAAAAAUAACUUGAAAAACACUGAAUAAUCUAUUUUGGGGUGUGUUUCUUACUCCAUAAUACCCAUGCACCCCUGGGCUCACAAGACUUUCUCUAAAGUCAGCCCUUGUGGAACACAGCGUGACUGUUAAAUCAGGAAUCCAUCAGAGGGAAACUACCUAGGUAAUAGGUUUAACUGUGAUGUCCAGUGUGAGGAGGAAAAUUAAUUUUUCAUUUCAAAGUUUUCACACACCUUCUGUUCUUUUCCAACUAUAUCAAGUAUUGAAAAAACUCUCCUUUUGCAUCACCACAAGCAAACACAUAUCCUUUUGAAAGUUCUUCCUGGGAUCAAUGACUUGACUCUUCACUUCAAUUUUUCUGUCUGUGAAAUGGAGAUGAACUAUUUACUUCUCAGGACUGUUGUGAAGCUUAAAGGAGAUGAACAUGAAGCAACUCGUCCAGUGCUGUGACUUACAGUGCUCAAUAAAGGUUGGCUGCUAUUAUUGUUGUUCUAUAGCAGUGACGACUGGCAAGGUUGGAUAAAUGACUCUUCUUCCCUGGAUCAAAAGUGUUAAGUGUUGGGAUUUUCCUACUUGGGAUACUUUUGCUGAGAAAUGCUGACAAAGUGAAUCACAAGGCACUAACUCUUAGCAAAUUUGAAAGAAUAUUUUUCAAGGAUAAUUUAAAAAUGUGGAAUGUUGACUAUAUAUAACACUGCAGGAAAAUCCAGGCUUUGGAGUUUGAAUCUUGGCACCACUACAUACAUGCUGUGUGGUCUCAGAUAUAAUACUUUAUACAGCCAGGUGUCACUUUCAUUAUCUACUUAAUUGGGAUUAUAUUUCUCCUAGGUUUGAUGUGACAGUUAACUGAGAACAUACUUGUGAAAGAACCCAGAACUGUCCCUGCAAGGAACACGUACUCACAUCAUUCAGGUGGUAACAAGAUGUCGGAGUAGAAAUGAGUGAGUUAUAGAGUCCAGGGUCUUGGUUCAGGUUCUGGCCCUGUAAUUACUAGCUGUAUAGCUUGGAGUAAGUCACUUGAAUGAAAUGAGGUCUCAGUUUCUAAAUUAGUAAAUUAAGAGAGUUAGGUUAGCUUUUCUCCAAGAUUCCUUAGCCCAGUAUCGUGUAGUAGAGCUUUCUGUGAUGAUGGGAAUGUUCCAUAGCUGUGCUGUCCAGUGUGGUAGCUACGAGCCACAUGUGGUUAUUGAGUACUUGAAGUGUGGCUGACGAUACUGAGGAACUGAAUUUUAAAUUUCACUUAAUGUCAAUGAAUUAAAGUUUAAAUUUGAGUAGCCACAUAUAGAUAGUGGCUACUAUAUUGGACAGUGCAACAUUAGAGUUUUAAAAUUCUUAACGUACUCUAGUACUUAAAAUACAGCCUCAUGAAUGGUUCUCACCCUGGGUGGAAGCUUACUGGAGUACUUUUAGCAGUUGUGAGAAAAGUAAUACAAAGUUUGUUAUAGUACCUAAGUUUGCUGUUUUUGUUUGUUUAUAUAAUUUGAACAGUUUUGAAGUCAACACAGUUACAACACUACUCUCUCCAUAUUGCUAAAUAUGUUUUCUUUUUUGUUGUCGUGGUUUUUUUUUUAAACCAAGCAAUUGUUAUGGAUCAAUGCUUUCUUGAAUAAAAGAAAAGGAGUAAAAUUACAGUUAAUUGUACAUAUUCCAUUAAAAAUUUUAUAAAUUUUUUAACUCAUGGGAGUGUUAUCCAUCAUUUAUAUUAGAGCAGAAAAAGAUUUGAGAACUUCUGGUCUAAUCUGUAGACCUUGUAUAUUAGGGCUAAGGAGGUUUAAGGGAGACCAUUAGAGCUCUUCAAUGUUAGAGUCUUUUUAAAAAUUGGUGUGCUAUAGUGUUACUUUUUAAAACUUGAAACAGUUAACACACAAGAGAUAGCCCUGUAGAAAUGAAAAUGUCUCAGAACUGCUUUGUCCUUGUAUUCAUCAACGUGCUCAAGAGAUUUUGUGGAGAAGAGAAAUGAAAAUUUGGAAGCUUUCCCUAUUCAGUGUUUGAAAUCACCACAAACAAUUAGUGAAUGGUGGCUAGUGGCUGCUGUUGAAACAUCUUGAACUUCUCCAGCAGUGGGGAGAAUACUUGGUGUCCUGAGGAUGCACUCAGCGGGGAAGCAAUACAAUCAGCCAUUCCUUAAUUUCCCUAAAGGUAUUGGGUAAUUUCUUAAUACCCUUGUAUUGAAUAUUGUAGGAUAUCACCAUUUUAAGUUAUAGUUUAGCAAAAAUUCAUCAUUUUUUAUGCCUCUGGUCUUUAUUUUAAAAUACGGAGUAAUAUGCUUUUAAAUGGGGGAUGCCACUCUUUAUUAAAAUGUACUUAUUUUGUGAUAAAAACUUAUUUUUUUUGCAACACAUCCUUACUGUGCUAGGUGUUGUCAUAAAUUUAGCAAGGUAAUGAGCUCCUUUAACUAGAGAUAUUCAAGUUGAGACUAGACAAACAGAAUCGGGAUGAGUUAGCAGUGGCAGGCUUUUCUGAUUUGGGUUCUCACCUGUGGAUAGAAGGUUAGAGCUGUGUGUUUCCGCCUAAGGAAAGAAGCCCUUACAGAAGGUGAAAAAAAUCUCCUGGCACUAGAGUGUGCAGUGAAGGGUUUCUCCCCAUUUAGUUCCUCAAAGGGAGUAACUUUGUACCUUUAAGUGUCAGGUAGUGAGAAUUGGGCUCUAGCUGUCUCUGAGAAUUUUUUUGUCCUUGCUGGGUUUUUAUAAAUUGUCCAUCAUAAUUAGAUGUGCUGGUUUCCUAUUUGGGAAUUUAUAUGUUCUUAGAAUAAUUGUAUGAGAGGAAUAAUACAAGAGAUUUUGUACUUUUAUUGAUGAAUAAUCCAUAUGCAUUUUUAUUCUUAUUCAUAUUUGUGUGGUAGGAACAGAUGUUUUAAGUUAACAAACACAUUUCUUAUGCUUUGUUUUGAAUUUAGAAGAUGCAGUUGAGCUUGGAAGCCAUAUUAAUUUGCUCAAACUAUGUUACGUUUUAUCAUAUAUCUCAAUUUUCUGGUCACACCAUACACUUCCCUCACUUUUUCUUAAGUUUGUGACAUUUUCACACCAAAUUGUCUUACAACUUGAUAUUUUUAUUUAUUCUAUUUCUCUGUUUAUAACUACAAAGUACAUACAUAUGUUUAUUUUCUAUGUGAUACAUUUAUAUAUGCAUGUGUAUAUAUGUAUAAAUCCCCAUAAUAGAACUGUCACUAAUUUAUGACACCUUAUGGUAUUAUCAUGUUAUAGUUUAGUUACUUUUAGAAGUUCUCUGCUUACCAAGGGAAAGAUAAUAUAUAAAUAUCAAAUGACAAUUGAGUUAAGCCAGCUUAUGUUUUUCUGAAAUUUCAGUUACAAAUGUCUGAAGAAAAGUUGACUUUGAAAAUUUUAUGUGGAUGACAUUUUGUUUCUGUGACACUUAAACAUAAAAUUGGCACAAAAUAAAAUUUUAAAAAAUAA
Molecule: long non-coding RNA, 4215 nt
Organism: Homo sapiens (human)
Lineage: Eukaryota; Metazoa; Chordata; Mammalia; Primates; Hominidae
Exons: 2
Source: RefSeq, a predicted model, not a curated record